This 28-nucleotide non-coding RNA is filed under the name Mus musculus (house mouse). The record is from RNAcentral. Lineage: Eukaryota; Metazoa; Chordata; Mammalia; Rodentia; Muridae.
UGCUGACGCUGGCGGGUGGCGACUGGUU